GUUAUUCAUCUGAAAUUUUUUGAUAGCUUGCACACAUUCUUCUUUGGUGCGAAACAUGUCUCCCACUUUUAACUCAUCCUCUGAUCGUGGAUACGGGAUAUAAAAAACACAGUUGGAUGUUUCAUCGUCAUGUAGAUCCAUGUUUGUCAUAUGUUGAGGUGGAUUAUAUACAUGACUUGGAGGUAAUGGUGUUGGAUGAUCGUCAUCAUUAAUGUUGUUGUUCAACAUAUGAUCGACAUGUGUCUUAGUCUCUUCUUCUUCUUCUUCAACGAUGUUGACUUCUGCUUCUGCUUCUGGGUCGGCUUCAUCUGAUUUUUCUGAAUCAAACUCAUUAGAUUCAACUUGAUUAGUUAUCUGAGAUUGCUGAGAUGGCAUACUUGGUUGAAGAGUAAUAUAUAACUCAAUAUAUUUGCAACCAGAAUGUUCGUGUCUAACAAACAUAUAUUCAACAUCUUCAUCGUCCUGUACCUUUAGCGAGAAAAAUUUGCAUUGACUGUUCUCGAAAAAAAUUGGAUUUUGAUACGGGAUUUGUGACACAAGACCAAAUCCUAUGCAGGAUUCAAUUCAUUUUUUCAAAUGCAAGAAAUAUGAAUUUCUCUUAAUCGUUAGUUGGAUAGUAUCGGUGUUUCGAAAACAAAACCCAUAAUAGAUCACACUCAUAUGUCUCACCGUUGCAGUGAGCAAUGAUAGUAUAUUUUGGUACAGAUGACAUUGUAAUAUUUUUUGUGCAGAUGAAAAGUAAUAUUUGUUUGGUGCAGAUGAAUUUGUGUUGAUUGUUGGAUGUAGAUAGUAAGGCACUUAAAUAGACAAGUGAUGUGUCAAGCAUGCAAGCCCUAGCUCCAGCCCAAUUGGCGCUAGCAUGCAAGCAUUGUACAUGGGCACCAGUCCAACUGGCGCUAGCAUGUAUUCCUUGUAGACCUCAUAACUCAACAUGUAGAGCCAUGCAGGCGCCAGGCUAGGUGAAGACCAUGCAUUCAUGCAAGCCUAGGAGGUGCCAAUUUAAUUGGCGUUAGCAUGUUACAUUUGCAUGUGUAAGUCAAACCAUUUGGCGCUAGCAUGCAAACACUAUUAUCCAUGCAUUCAAACUUUUGUAUGCCUUUGCAUGUCCCUCAUUAUAAAUAGCCAUGCAAGUCUCACAUUUUUUCCUCACUAACAAUCACUUCUUCCUCUACAACAACAACUCUUUCAUCUGCAACAACCACUGUUUCAAAUAUUUACUCCAACAAGAUGUCUCUCCUUACUAUGGGUGAAUCGCACAAAGGCACAGUUGCAAACAUAGCAACUUAUGUAAGCAUUUAAUUCUUGUAUUAUUUUUCUAAAAUAAUUUUUAAUAACGAUACUUAACUUUUUGUUUAUCUUUUAUAAAGUAACGUAUUUUGUUGUUUCUUUUUUAGGAUGUUUCUAGGUUUCGAACUCGGGUCCACAAAUUUGUACACAUGGACCCGAUGAUUCAACUGUAUGUCAAACUCGCCGGUUUUUGACAUAUAAGCAAAAUAAUGUCUCGGUCGGUGGAUAAUAAAUUUAUUCUUGCAUUAUGUGAAAGAUGGCGUCCCGUGACACACACAUUCUGGUUUUCAACCGGUGAAUGUACCGUGACGUUAGAAGACGUCUACAUGUUAUUGGGACUGUCUAUCGAAGGUAAGGCGGUAAAUGACAAAAUCAACUAUGCAAAUUUAAUUUACAUGGACCUCUUGGAUGAUGAUUUGUUAAAUGAUAACUCGAGAGGUCAAGGUAUACUCCUUUCACGCCUUAAGGCAUAUUAUAACAGCUUACAAUUAGAUGAGAAUUCUAUCGAAGAGGCUCGAAAAGUAAAAACUAGGUGUUAUAUUAUGCUUUUAAUUGGUUUAUUUUUAUUUCCCGAAGGUAGUGGUUCUAGUAUGCAUGUUAUGUAUUUACCUUUACUAAGACAUGUAGAUAGAAUAGGAAGUUAGAGUUUGGGGUCCGCUUGUCUGGCUUAUCUUUAUAGCUCUUUGUGUAAAAAUGCACCAAAGACACAUCUAUAUUUUCUGGAUGUGUUGUUUUGCUCCAAGCAUGGGGUUAGUCCAGACUACCAUCCCUAGCGUCCUUCAACAACAACCCACUCACAUUCCCGUAUAUACAAAAGUAAGUUCUUAAAAUGGACUAUAUUUACUUACCUUACCGAUUAUUAUCUCUAAAUAAUAUUUUUUACUUUUAUGGCGAAGAUGGUCGGCAUGUGGUAUGAGUUAUAACAGAUGUCCUAGGCACUAUAUUACCCAGUAUCGCAAUCUCUUGGAUCACCUUCGACCAACAGAUGUAUGGCCAUUAACCUAAUUAUUUCCUAAUAAUUUGUUAAUUUCUUCUACCAAAUUUAUAAUCUAAUAUAUGUUCACAUUUCAGUUCAUUUGGCGUUCAUAUCUAAAUUUGGAUCAUGACCAUGAAAUCGACGAACAAGAGGCAGUUGUUUGGAUUGCAUGCACACCAAUCAUAAGAUUCACCACUGUGGAGAUGCACAAUAGUAAUUGUGUUAAAUUGUAGUUCGGUAUGCUUUAACACAUCCCAGGUCCCCUGGAAAACUUAAGAGAAUGGCAUCUAUGCAAAGUUAACGAACAAUGAAACUUUAACCCAUGGCAAAGCUUCGCUAGAUCUGAGUGUUUCAAAUGGAAGCACCACCAAGACCAUGUCUUAACUGACCAUGUGAUGCCAACUGAAGAAAAACCAAGUCGUAAUUAUAUGGCUUGGUACAUAUCGGUUGGAUUUGAGUUCAUCGCCAAGGAUAUGUACCUAUAUGACCCACGACAUGCAACUUACACACCAGAAGGGUCAAUAUCUAACCCCUAACAACAUUGUCAGACCGGUAACUCACAACCCCCUAUCCAUCAAAAUUCUCGAUCCACAAACACACAAACCUACAACCCUAACAUGCCAAACACCCAACCACAAUACCAAGAGCAUACCCCGUACCACCACCAACAACUAGAUCAUCAUUAAGACAUCCAACAUCGCUAUGCACCCAACGCAUUCCUAUCAUAGCCGCCUAAUCCAAAACACUCAACGAUCAUUUAACACCAAUCGUCCCUCCUCCUACCAUAGCCAAGAAGCUCAAACAUCUCAAAACCAAAACCUUCAACAACCAUAUCACUACCAAACACCGCUACAAUCAUUUCAACCUUUCCUCGAUGCAUCAUUCACACCAAUGUAUCCCUUAAAUCGUCCCGGUUUCCCUCCAACAACUCAAACACAACCCAACUACUCUGGAAUGGGUCAUGAGCUCAGCUAUGGUGGUACCCCUUUGAUGCAUACACCAAAUUAUGUUGAUUUGUCUAACUAUCUCAAGCAAUCUCCUGCAGUUGGUGAUGAUGUUCCUGUGCCCUCAGAUACUCAAACACCUGAGGUGAAUCAUCAACGUGGAUUAGGGCCACGAGUUCGGGUAGCUAGGGGAUGUGGGACCGGAGGUCAGUUAGGCGAUCCCGAUCAUCGACAUUAGUCUUUUUUGUGUAAACGGGAAUUUAUAUUAAUAUGAAUUGGUCCUAUUUUGACUUUAUCUAUUAUAUACAAUAUUUUUCAAAAAAAUUACGAAACACACACAGGUGCCAUACCAAUUGGCGCCUCCUUUAAAACUUAACACAUAGGCAUCAAUUGGAUUGAUAACACAAGGUGGACUAGCCAAUCCAAUUGGCGCCUCUUCUCUAAGUUUAAGAGCAGGCGCCAAUUAAUCUGGCGGCCUCCUCUUCAAAGUGGGGUAGUUUGAGAAUUUUUUUGAAAACUGGGUUAUUUUGGGGAUUUUUUUGAAAAACUGGGUUAUUUUGGUAAAAAUUUCCCCAAAUUCAUUCUGCAACAACCUUCACUCAAUUCUACCGAAGUGUUUAGUGGAGAAGAAAUGCUUUAUUUUUUGCUUAUGCUGGAUUUUCAAUUUCAAGCAACACUUAAAUCUUGACCUGCAACUCAAGAAUUUCAAAAACAUCAAUGAUAAAAGACACUUCUCUAUGAUAAAUCACAUUUUCUCUAAGAAUUAAGAAGCAAACAACUCAUAGUAUCUUACUAGAGGUUAAAGAUGAUUAUAUAUUAAAUCUAAUUGUGAUUAAGUGUACUUUAAAAGCUAAAAACUUUGUUUUUGAAAGACUCUCAAAGUUAUGAUGAUAUCACACACUCUUUUGAAAAAUGACACAAUGAUUUUUAUAUGUGUUUGAGAUAGAGCAUUAAAAGUGAGUAAAAAUACUCAUUUGAUUGUAGUCAAGUGCAGUGGAUAUAAUUCAAGUCGGAGGAGAAAAUGAUUUGAAUUAAGAACUUAAAACUCAAAGUUUCCCCUUUUUGAUUCGAAUAAGUGAUUCGAUUUAAAGAAUCAUGUGACUUGAAUCACUCUGACAGAACCAAAAUCUAGCAUUUGGAAUGAAUUUUUUAUUCGAAUAAACCUUUAGCAUAAUGUGAAUAAAUAUUUAUUAUGACUCAAAUCAGGGAAGCUUGUGAUUCAAAUCAACUGAUAAUGGUAAAACCUGAAUUUCACAAUCAUUUAUUAAUUUGGAUCAUGCAUAUCCUUGACUCGAAUCAAACUUCAUAAAGUUACUAUUUUAGGCAAAAUAAAAUAUUUGAUUUAAUAUAAGGUUAGUAUGAUAGUAAUCAUGAAUUCAUGUGUUUAUUGACUCAAAUAAUUAACUAGUUUGACAUGAACCACUUUGCAACAACUUUUAUCUUAUGGUUCGAUUUAAAAAACAUGACUUAAUGCAGAAUAUGCUUUAAAUGCAUUACACUAAAUUCAAAUAUAUGUGCAAAACCUAACUUGGAGAAUAAUCAAUAACAAAAAAUAAUGAACUAUAAGAUAGAAAAUGAGACAAGAAUCAAAACUGAAACCCUAUAGGAGCGGAGCAACUUCAAUAGGUGUUAUCCUAACCAUCUUUAAUAUUUUUCGUUUCUAACGUUAUCCUAUUUAGUAUUACCAAACUUCCAAUGAAACAUCCUCAUAUUUCCUAAACUUAUAUUGUUUCCAUGUUGAUUCUUAACCGCCCAACUUUCUGUUCUAUUCAACUUUGUUGGUUUUCACGUUGUUCAUUAAAAUUUCCCAUCUAGCUUGAGCGGUACCUUUGUGUCAAUAAAAUUCCUAAGUCCCUCAUAAAUUUCGUCCAUCCAAUUUAAAUUCAAUUUUUUACAUCCCCUUAUAUUUCUUCAUCUUAUUUCCACCUUAUGUAUGCACACUAGUCGAUAACCUUCAUACGUAUAUUGGAUAGCUCGAAAAUAAGAAAGCUUAAUCCAUUUCUUAUAUAGGGAUUUCCAUAAAAUCUCUAUAGGAACUUUAUGAUACUCCUUCUCCAAGUCAAUAAAAAUUAAGUUCAAGUCUUAUUGGUCCAUCCGAUAUUUCCCCAUCAUACAUCGUAGUAUAUAGAUUUCUUCCAUGGUCGAAAUCCUAGGCAUAAAACCAAAUUGAUUCUCAGUGACAUGAGUCUAUUUUCUUAGUCUCUGUGCAUUCACUAUUUAACAUAACUUCAUGGCAUGACUCAUAAGUUUAAUCCCCGUAUAGUUUUCCCAAUUUUGUAUAUCCCUUAUGUUCUUAUAGAUUGGAACUAAAAUGAUUCUUCUCCAUUCAUUCAAAAAUUUCUUUGACACCAAUGCAUCUAUAUCCAAUAAUUUCCACAUUUCAAUAGGUAUGUAGUCUGAACCAACCGCCUUAUUGUUACUCGUCCUUUUCAAUGCUUGUUUUAAAUCUUGUUUUUGAAUUUGACUGUAGUAAUUAUAGUUUUGAUCCUCUUCUCCAAUGUCGAGCCUAAUAGAUUUCAGUGAAAUAGCAUAUUCUUCAUUAAAUAAAUUAUAGUAAAACUUCUUUCACAUAUCCUUUAUAUUCUUUUCCUAAACCAAGACUUUGUCCUCUUCAUUCUUAAUACACCUCACUUGAUCAAAAUCCCUUAUCCUUUUUUCUCUCCCCUUAGCAGACAGAUAUAUAUUUCUCCCUCCUUGGUUCCUAAAGAUUAGUAUAAUCCGUCAAUAUCUUGGUUUUUGGCUUCAUUCACCGCCCUCUUGGUCUCAUUCUUAACUUUCUUAUACUUUUCCCAGGUUUCAACAUUUUUACACCUAGAUCAUUCUUAAAAGCAAUCCAUUUUUACUAUUGCCUAACUCUGAACACUUUCAUUCCACCACCAUGAUUCUUUACCAUUAGGUCUAAAACCUUUUUAUUCUUCUAACGUUUCUUUAGCUAUUUUUCUAAUAUCUUGGGCCAUAUUACUCCACAAAUUAUUUUCGCUUCCUUGUGGUUGUCCAAACCCUCCCUUCAAGAUCUUGUGUUAGAAAUUUCCUAAUAUAUUACCAUUCAAAUGUCACCACUUGACACGUGGUUCUCCAAUGCAAUAUUUUAGAAACCACUAAAUAUUGGGUCACUGGUUCAUUGACCGAACCAUUGGGUCACUAGUCGAAUCGCGUGAUUAAACUGGAUAAAACUGGAAAAUUCAGUUGAAUAAACAUGUCAUAACAAAACUAUAUAGGUAUUAAACCAGUCGAAGCGAAUGACUCGGUCUCUAAAAAAAUCACUAGCACCUAAAAAAUAUAAAAAUAUCAUAAUUUCACAAGUUCAUUCUUUAAAUUCAAAUUCUAAACAUAGUCAUCACUAACAAAAAAAUAGUACAAAAUACAAAUCAAAAUAAAAUUUGAACAAAGUCUAAUUGCAACAUAAUAUAAUUUCAUAUUUUAUAACAAAAAAGUUGUAAUAUAUAAUAAAUUUAGUUCUAAGGAGGGAAAAUUGUUUCAAUGUUGGGCUCUCCUUCUUCAUCAAAACCUUCCACGUCAAAAUCAACUGCAACGUCUUCCCCAUAAACGAUAUCAUACUACUCUACGAUCAUUUCUCCACACACGCCUUUACUUGGUUAACCAAUCUUGCAAUUCUCAUCGUGAACUCGCUAAUUGUUUCCUUUUCUUCCAUUUGAAUCAACUUCAGUUUCCUCUUGUGAGUUUGUAACCUCACCAUUUUUGCCUUGUAUGCUCCUGUAUAACUUUUCUCCAUGAUUUCUUAAACUUCCUUUGAGGAUGUGCAAUCAUCAAACUUCUUAAAUUUAUCUGCAUCAACACAUUGUUGAAUCAGAUAUAACGCCUUGUAAUCUUUUGUCCUCUCUUCCUUAUUCUUAUUCCUAUAUGCAACUGUUGUACCUUCUACAAGUGGAGUAACAUCGUUCUUGAUCGCUUCAAUAACAUCUUGAUAACCAAACAACACCUUCAUCUACUUGCAUCACUUAUCGUAAUUCUUUGCAUCGAGAAUUGGGAGAUCUGCAUGGGUUCAUUCAUUGGAAAUGGAAAUCAAUUUUGCACUCUGAGUGUUUGAUGGAUCGGGCCAGGUUUUUGAUGGCAAAUGUUAAAACAAGGAACCACAUGAAUGAUGAUUUUCAAUGCGAAGAGUAAGAGAGUGGGAGAAUGAGAGAGAGUAAAUAUUAAGGGUGAAAAUGGUGAAGACUUUAUUAUUGAAAUACCCAAGGGGUAUAUGUACAUUUACAUGGAAUGAGGUACAUGUAACAAACAAAAAACUAUUGUUGUAAUCGAUUACAUCCCCGCAAUAAUCGGUUACUAAACGCUUUUGUUUCAUUGAUAUAGUGUGGUAACCAAUUGCAUUCGUGCAAUAAUCAGUUACAAUUCAAUCAUGUUUCAACUGUACUGUAACGGUUACAAUCACGCAUUAACAAUAUUAUUCAAAUUUUUAUUGUAACAUUGUCUCUCAAGCACAUGUACUACAAAGUAUGUACGCACUCUUGUCGAGUAUAUCUAUCUUAUUUGUGGUAUUAUAUUUUGAGAAUUCUUAUCUACUCAUUACAACAAAAAAUUAUCUUGAAAUUGAAUAAUUAAUCUUUUUUAAUACAUUUAUUGACAAUUUAUUUACUAUUGACAUACUUUAUUAUGAUUUCNAUACUUUAUUUUGAUUCUUAUUUUAAUAUAUUUUGAUUAUAAAAAUAAAAUCGGUUUUUCUAUUCACUCGGUCAAAUAUUACAAGUAACCAUCAAAUGAAGUAAAGUACUACGCAUGCAUUAAGAGAUUAUGUUCAAAUCAGAGAAAACAGAAAUUAAUGUCAUGAAGCAUUAUCAUGCGAUUCAAAAAACUUUCGUGCAAGGGAAUUCAAUCACCAUGCAACAUUAGACUUCAGCAAAUCAUAAUUCCAAAUAUUGUUUGCCCAUAUAUAUUAUAUUUUUAUUUUGGGUAGGUUGUUCGCUAUUCUGUUUUCACAUGUAGUUUAAUGAGUUUUAACCAAAUUGAAAAUCCCCUUAGACAGAACAAAAGCUACCAUGUUCUUUAAAUAAUAAUAUAAAAUAACUAAAUAAAUAAAAGAAACAAUGAAAUAUGCCGUGGCAGCAAAUUCAGAUUAAUUUAAAGUUUUUUUUAUAUCUAUAUAAACCACCACUUCCAUUUUAUUUCAACUCAUAUCAAUUUACAUUUCUUUCUCCAACACAUAAACAUACACACCUCAACUCAACAAGGCUUUCUUUGAUAACAACAAAAUGGUUUCUAACAACCAAAAACAAUACAUGUGUGUUCUGUUCCUCAUCCUUGCUCUCAAUAUCACCAAUGUAAUGUCCCGAAAGCUGCAACAAUCAACAUCAUCACCAUCCUUAGAAGAAAGACACGAGCAAUGGAUGACAGAAUAUAGCAAAGUGUAUAAUGAUGAUGCUGAGAAAGACAAACGUUUCAUGAUAUUCAAGGACAAUGUUGAAUUCAUUGAAUCAUUCAAUGAUGCCAACAACAAACCUUACAAACUAAGUGUUAAUCACCUUGCUGAUUUGACUCUUGACGAAUUUAAAGCUUCCCGUAAUGGUUACAAAAAGAGGUCUUCUACUACUGAGUUAACUUCAACAUCAUUUAAGUAUGAAGAUGUGACUUCUAUUCCAGCAUCUGUAGAUUGGAGGGUAAAAGGAGCCGUCACUCCAAUCAAGGAUCAAGGACAAUGUGGUAAGUAACAUAAUCAGUAAACAGUAUUUUACGAAUGCUUUAUUAUGAUAUUAUUUGUUUCAAAUAAUUAAUAUUUGUUUUGAAAAUGAAUCAAG
RNAcentral lists this long non-coding RNA (8960 nucleotides) under Lathyrus oleraceus (garden pea). RNAcentral describes it as "Pisum sativum (pea) long non-coding RNA (PSAT_LNC030490)". Lineage: Eukaryota; Viridiplantae; Streptophyta; Magnoliopsida; Fabales; Fabaceae. The record is from RNAcentral.